This 299-nucleotide long non-coding RNA is filed under the name Panax ginseng (ginseng). RNAcentral describes it as "long non-coding RNA (PGIN_LNC019232)". The record is from RNAcentral. Lineage: Eukaryota; Viridiplantae; Streptophyta; Magnoliopsida; Apiales; Araliaceae.
UGCAUGGUUUUAAGUUAUGGUUAUAUGUUAUCUUUAAAGACUACAAGAUAUGUAACAAGAUUGUUUAGAUAAAUAUGAUAGUAGAAUGAGCUAGUCUCAUGGUUAUCCUAAGUUCAAGUAAAAAUGAAACCAAGUUAGGAAACAAUAUUUGCUCUUAUAUUAAGAACAUAUGAAAUGUAUGACUGAUGGGUAUGAAUCCAUGAUUAUAUAACUGUGUAGGGAUACACGCAGUGCAGAUAAGCUUUAAGCAGUUAAGUCGUAGUUGAUAAACUACGAAUCAGGCAAGUCUUUCAGUUCCU